RNAcentral lists this ribosomal RNA (494 nucleotides) under uncultured bacterium. RNAcentral describes it as "partial 16S ribosomal RNA". It matches the Rfam family "Bacterial small subunit ribosomal RNA", at positions 28 to 507 of the family's 1533-position model. The record is from RNAcentral.
GACGAACGCUGGCGGCGUGCUUAACACAUGCAAGUCGAACGGUGAAGCGCCUUCCUUUUUGGUGGGUGUGGAUGAGUGGCGAACGGGUGAGUAACACGUGAGUAACCUGCCCCCUUCUUCUGGAUAACCGCAUGAAAGUGUGGCUAAUACGGGAUAUUCUGGGUCUGUCGCAUGAUGGGUCUGGGAAAGAUAUUGUUUCGGUGGGGGAUGGGCUCGCGGCCUAUCAGCUUGUUGGUGGGGUGAUGGCCUACCAAGGCGGUGACGGGUAGCCGGCCUGAGAGGGUGGACGGUCACACUGGGACUGAGACACGGCCCAGACUCCUACGGGAGGCAGCAGUGGGGAAUAUUGCACAAUGGGCGCAAGCCUGAUGCAGCGACGCCGCGUGAGGGAUGGAGGCCUUCGGGUUGUGAACCUCUUUCGCCAGUGAAGCAGGCCUGCCUCGUUUGUGGGUGGGUUGACGGUAGCUGGAGAAGAAGCGCGGGCUAACUACGUG